AACGAACGCUGGCGGCAUGCCUAACACAUGCAAGUCGAACGAGACCUUCGGGUCUAGUGGCGCACGGGUGCGUAACGCGUGGGAAUCUGCCCUUGGGUUCGGAAUAACAGUUGGAAACGACUGCUAAUACCGGAUGAUGACGUAAGUCCAAAGAUUUAUCGCCCAAGGAUGAGCCCGCGUAGGAUUAGCUAGUUGGUGAGGUAAAGGCUCACCAAGGCGACGAUCCUUAGCUGGUCUGAGAGGAUGAUCAGCCACACUGGGACUGAGACACGGCCCAGACUCCUACGGGAGGCAGCAGCGGGGAAUAUUGGACAAUGGGCGAAAGCCUGAUCCAGCAAUGCCGCGUGAGUGAUGAAGGCCUUAGGGUUGUAAAGCUCUUUUACCCGGGAUGAUAAUGACAGUACCGGGAGAAUAAGCUCCGGCUAACUCCGUG
Molecule: ribosomal RNA, 433 nt
Filed under: uncultured bacterium
Lineage: Bacteria
Description: partial 16S ribosomal RNA
Rfam family: Bacterial small subunit ribosomal RNA
Source: RNAcentral